RNAcentral lists this ribosomal RNA (710 nucleotides) under Roseovarius sp. RNAcentral describes it as "bacterial SSU rRNA". It matches the Rfam family "Bacterial small subunit ribosomal RNA", at positions 42 to 800 of the family's 1533-position model. The record is from RNAcentral. Lineage: Bacteria; Pseudomonadati; Pseudomonadota; Alphaproteobacteria; Rhodobacterales; Roseobacteraceae.
GGAGCACCUACACAUGCAGUCGAGCGAGAACUUCGGUUCUAGCGGCGGACGGGUUAGUAACGCGUGGGAACGUGCCCUUCACUACGGAAUAGUCCCGGGAAACUGGGUUUAAUACCGUAUACGCCCUUCGGGGGAAAGAAUUUCGGUGAAGGAUCGGCCCGCGUUAGAUUAGAUAGUUGGUGGGGUAACGGCCUACCAAGUCUACGAUCUAUAGCUGGUUUUAGAGGAUGAUCAGCAACACUGGGACUGAGACACGGCCCAGACUCCUACGGGAGGCAGCAGUGGGGAAUCUUAGACAAUGGGCGCAAGCCUGAUCUAGCCAUGCCGCGUGAGUGAUGAAGGCCUUAGGGUCGUAAAGCUCUUUCGCCAGGGAUGAUAAUGACAGUACCUGGUAAAGAAACCCCGGCUAACUCCGUGCCAGCAGCCGCGGUAAUACGGAGGGGGUUAGCGUUGUUCGGAAUUACUGGGCGUAAAGCGCGCGUAGGCGGAUUGGAAAGUUGGGGGUGAAAUCCCAGGGCUCAACCCUGGAACUGCCUCCAAAACUAUCAGUCUAGAGUUCGAGAGAGGUGAGUGGAACUCCGAGUGUAGAGGUGAAAUUCGUAGAUAUUCGGAAGAACACCAGUGGCGAAGGCGGCUCACUGGCUCGAUACUGACGCUGAGGUGCGAAAGUGUGGGGAGCAAACAGGAUUAGAUACCCUGGUAGUCCACAC